This 391-nucleotide unclassified non-coding RNA is filed under the name soil metagenome. RNAcentral's name for it is "partial contains 5.8S ribosomal RNA, internal transcribed spacer 2, and large subunit ribosomal RNA". The stretch from base 1 to 122 matches the Rfam family "5.8S ribosomal RNA", at positions 35 to 154 of the family's 154-position model. The record is from RNAcentral.
GAUGAAGAACGUAGCGAAAUGCGAUACUUGGUGUGAAUUGCAGAAUCCCGUGAACCAUCGAGUCUUUGAACGCAAGUUGCGCCCGAAGCCAUUAGGUCGAGGGCACGCCUGCCUGGGCGUCACACGUCGUUGCCCCCCCAUCUACUCCUUCGGGAUUGCGGGGGGCGGAUGAUGGCCUCCCGUGCGCCUCGUCGCGCGGUUGGCAUAAAUGCCAAGUCCUCGGCGACGCACGCCACGACAAUCGGUGGUUGCGAAACCUCGGUUGCCCGUCGUGUGCGGUCGUCGCGCAUCGAGGGCUCGAAAAAAUUGCCGGGCUCCGGCUCGGCUUUCAACGCGACCCCAGGUCAGGCGGGGUUACCCGCUGAAUUUAAGCAUAUCAAUAAGCGGAGGA